This 73-nucleotide transfer RNA is filed under the name Ipomoea nil (Japanese morning glory). It matches the Rfam family "tRNA". From Rfam's summary of the family: Transfer RNA (tRNA) molecules are approximately 80 nucleotides in length. Their secondary structure includes four short double-helical elements and three loops (D, anti-codon, and T loops). Further hydrogen bonds mediate the characteristic L-shaped molecular structure. tRNAs have two regions of fundamental functional importance: the anti-codon, which is responsible for specific mRNA codon recognition, and the 3' end, to which the tRNAs corresponding amino acid is attached (by aminoacyl-tRNA synthetases). tRNAs cope with the degeneracy of the genetic code in two manners: having more than one tRNA (with a specific anti-codon) for a particular amino acid; and 'wobble' base-pairing, i.e. permitting non-standard base-pairing at the 3rd anti-codon position. Lineage: Eukaryota; Viridiplantae; Streptophyta; Magnoliopsida; Solanales; Convolvulaceae. The record is from Rfam by way of RNAcentral.
UCCGUUGUAGUCUAGUUGGUUAGGAUAUACGGCUCUUACCCGAGAGACAAGGGUUCGAUUCCUACCAAUGGAA